UAAGAGACUUUUCCAAGAUCAGUCAGCUGGGCACCCAGAACUAUUGAAGGGACUGAACUGGCCUCUGAAGUCUGGUUUUAGGGAAGAGGAUCAGGACGCUCAAAGGUGAUUCAAAACCCACUCUCUUCUAUAAAAAAGAUUGAAGUUCAAGAACAAUGACCUCACUUCCUCUGAAGUCUGAGUAAGUACAUGUAAUAUUCUUUUUAAAAAAUAUUUUUCCCAGUCACAUGUAAUAACAAUUUUCGAUGUUUUU
Molecule: long non-coding RNA, 253 nt
Filed under: Monodelphis domestica (gray short-tailed opossum)
Lineage: Eukaryota; Metazoa; Chordata; Mammalia; Didelphimorphia; Didelphidae
Description: lncRNA (ENSMODG00000038271.1)
Source: RNAcentral